UGAGGAAUAUUGCGCAAUGGGCGAAAGCCUGACGCAGCCACGCCGCGUGAAGGAAGACACCCCUAUGGGGCGUAAACUUCUUUUAUGUGAGAAGAAUGCUCUGGUCUCCAGAGAGUGACGGUAUCACAUGAAUAAGCACCGGCUAACUCCGUGCCAGCAGCCGCGGUAAUACGGAGGGUGCAAGCGUUGUCCGGAAUCACUGGGUGUAAAGGGUGUGUAGGCGGGACAGUAAGUCAGAGGUGAAAUCCCACGGCUCAACCGUGGAACUGCCUUUGAUACUGCUGUUCUUGAGUAUCGGAGGGGUAGCUGGAAUUCGUGGUGUAGCGGUGAAAUGCGUAGAUAUCACGAGGAACACCAGAGGCGUAGGCGGGCUACUGGACGAUUACUGACGCUGAGGCACGAAAGCGUGGGGAGCAAACAGGAUUAGAUACCCCUGUAGUCC
RNAcentral lists this ribosomal RNA (442 nucleotides) under uncultured prokaryote. RNAcentral's name for it is "bacterial SSU rRNA". It matches the Rfam family "Bacterial small subunit ribosomal RNA", at positions 355 to 796 of the family's 1533-position model. The record is from RNAcentral.